Molecule: ribosomal RNA, 678 nt
Filed under: uncultured fungus
Lineage: Eukaryota; Fungi
Also listed under: 1 other name
Description: eukaryotic LSU rRNA
Rfam family: 5.8S ribosomal RNA (bases 264-418)
Source: RNAcentral
CUUGGUCAUUUAGAGGAAGUAAAAGUCGUAACAAGGUUUCCGUAGGUGAACCUGCGGAAGGAUCAUUAUCGAAAUUAUUGGUGAGGGUUGUAGCUGGCCUUUCGAGGCAUGUGCACGCUCGAGCCCUUAAUCCACUUUACACCUGUGCACUUAAUGUAGGUCGCCCUUAAAAAAGGUGACCUAUGUCUUAUCAUCAACCCAUCGUAUGUCUCAUAGAAUGUAAUCGAUAUCCUCGCCCUGAAAAAGCGUUGAUAAACUUAUACAACUUUCAACAACGGAUCUCUUGGCUCUCGCAUCGAUGAAGAACGCAGCGAAAUGCGACAAGUAAUGUGAAUUGCAGAUUUUCAGUGAAUCAUCGAAUCUUUGAACGCACCUUGCGCUCCUUGGUAUUCCGAGGAGCAUGCCUGUUUGAGUGUCAUUAAAUUCUCAACUCCAAGGGUUUCACGACCUUUCGGAGAUUGGACUUGGAGGUGCUGGCCGCAUAUUGGUCGGCUCCUCUCAAAUGCAUCAGCGGAAUUCAACCUUUGGCUUCCGGAUGUCAGUGUGAUAAUCAUGUUGCGCUGUCGUUUGAUCCCUCAGAGUCCGCUUAUAAUGGUCUUCGGACAAAAUCAUCAUCAAAUUUGACCUCAAAUCAGGUAGGACUACCCGCUGAACUUAAGCAUAUCAAUAAGCGGAGGA